GCAGUCAUCUUGCCUUUAACCAUCACCCAGAGUAUUUAAAAGGGAAAAGUGGGAGGCGUCAAAAAAACAGGGGGACAUGAAAGACAUAGGAAAAAGUAAUCAUGGAUAAAGACUUCCAUCUGCUGCACGUGAAACAGUGUCUGUUUACUCUGGACUUUGCUGGGUGCCUGUUCUCUACAGCAGGAAUGAAGCAAAAAGUGAAACCAUAAUUCCUCCCCAGAGUGACAGCAUUCUGGCCUGGGGAGCCGAAGUGUGCACAGGAAUCGGUCGCCGU
Molecule: long non-coding RNA, 274 nt
Filed under: Pan troglodytes (chimpanzee)
Lineage: Eukaryota; Metazoa; Chordata; Mammalia; Primates; Hominidae
Description: long non-coding RNA NONPTRT002009
Source: RNAcentral